AGAGUUUGAUCAUGGCUCAGGACGAACGCUGGCGGCGCGCCUAACACAUGCAAGUCGAACGGAGCUUAAAGAGCUUGCUUUUUAAGCUUAGUGGCGAACGGGUGAGUAACGCGUGAGUAACCUGCCCUAGAGUGGGGGACAACAGUUGGAAACGACUGCUAAUACCGCAUAAGCCCACGGUGCCGCAUGACACUGAGGGAAAAGGAUUUAUUCGCUUUAGGAUGGACUCGCGUCCAAUUAGCUAGUUGGUGAGGUAACGGCCCACCAAGGCGACGAUUGGUAGCCGGACUGAGAGGUUGAACGGCCACAUUGGGACUGAGACACGGCCCAGACUCCUACGGGAGGCAGCAGUGGGGGAUAUUGCACAAUGGGGGAAACCCUGAUGCAGCGACGCCGCGUGGAGGAAGAAGGUUUUCGGAUUGUAAACUCCUGUCGUUAGGGACGAUAAUGACGGUACCUAACAAGAAAGCACCGGCUAACUACGUGCCAGCAGCCGCGGUAAAACGUAGGGUGCAAGCGUUGUCCGGAAUUACUGGGUGUAAAGGGAGCGCAGGCGGGAAGACAAGUUGGAAGUGAAAACCAUGGGCUCAACCCAUGAAUUGCUUUCAAAACUGUUUUUCUUGAGUAGUGCAGAGGUAGAUGGAAUUCCCGGUGUAGCGGUGGAAUGCGUAGAUAUCGGGAGGAACACCAGUGGCGAAGGCGGUCUACUGGGCACCAACUGACGCUGAGGCUCGAAAGCAUGGGUAGCAAACAGGAUUAGAUACCCUGGUAGU
RNAcentral lists this ribosomal RNA (773 nucleotides) under uncultured bacterium. RNAcentral's name for it is "bacterial SSU rRNA". It matches the Rfam family "Bacterial small subunit ribosomal RNA", at positions 8 to 794 of the family's 1533-position model. The record is from RNAcentral.